Molecule: ribosomal RNA, 485 nt
Filed under: uncultured bacterium
Lineage: Bacteria
Description: partial 16S ribosomal RNA
Rfam family: Bacterial small subunit ribosomal RNA
Source: RNAcentral
GAUGAACGCUAGCGGCAGGCCUAAUACAUGCAAGUCAAGGGCUGUUUGGUGUAGAAAUACCUCAAACAACAGGCGGACGGGUGCGUAACGCGUAUGCAACCUACCCUCUACAGGAGGAUAGCCCUCGGAAACGAGGAUUAAUACUCCAUAAGAUUGCUUAGAGGAAUCUUUAAGAAAUUAAAGCCGCAAGGCGGUAUAGGAUGGGCGUGCGUGCGAUUAGCUAGUUGGUGAGGUAACGGCUCACCAAGGCGAGGAUCGGUAGGGGUUCUGAGAGGAAGAUCCCCGACACGGGAGCGGGGACACGGGCCCGACUCCUACGGGAGGGAGCAGUAAGGAAUGUUAGGCAGUGGUGGAAAGCCUUAUCCAGCCGAGCCGCGUGCAAGAAGAAGGCCCUAUGUGUUCUAAACUGCUUUUGAGAGCGAGAAAUAAGGUCGAUGCGUCGCUUGAUGACAGUACUUCACGAAUAAGCACCGGCUAACUUCGUG